RNAcentral lists this long non-coding RNA (414 nucleotides) under Cucumis sativus (cucumber). RNAcentral's name for it is "long non-coding RNA (CSAT_LNC000582)". The record is from RNAcentral. Lineage: Eukaryota; Viridiplantae; Streptophyta; Magnoliopsida; Cucurbitales; Cucurbitaceae.
GUAAAUAUCUUCGUUGUUUACCAUAUUAAAACAAAAUGUACAUAAUUCAAGGCACUGAGGUUUUCUGCGUAGCUCCUAAGAAAGUACCGAAUAGGUUUAAUAGAAUAUGAACAAGAUAGAUUCGCCGCAAAGCAGAAAGAAUUGACGAGAGUUUGUUAGUGAGGGUACCUGGUUUAUGGAAGACGGAAAACAAUCCCCAGAUAACAGCAGCAAAAAAUCUGGUCAGAUUUGGCAAUCACAGCGAAAAAUGAGUGCAAAGUAGAAAGGUUUUUUCAUGUUUGAAAUUAUAGUAUUAUUACAUGAUUGGUUAAGGUUCAAACUGCAGUGUGAGGGGGAGGGGGAGGGUGAGGGUGAGGGUGAGGGUGAGAAUGAGGAUGAGGAUGAGGGGUGAGGGGCGGCGGUCCUGUUGAUGCA